Molecule: ribosomal RNA, 484 nt
Filed under: uncultured bacterium
Lineage: Bacteria
Description: bacterial SSU rRNA
Rfam family: Bacterial small subunit ribosomal RNA
Source: RNAcentral
AGAGUUUGAUUCUGGCUCAGGAUGAACGCUGGCGGCGUGCCUAACACAUGCAAGUCGAGCGAUUCUCUUCGGAGAAGAGCGGCGGACGGGUGAGUAACGCGUGGGUAACCUGCCUCAUACACAUGGAUAACAUACCGAAAGGUAUGCUAAUACAGGAUAACAUAAGAGAUUCACAUGGAUUUCUUAUCAAAGCUCCGGCGGUAUGAGAUGGACCCGCGUCUGAUUAGCUAGUUGGUAAGGUAACGGCUUACCAAGGCGACGAUCAGUAGCCGACCUGAGAGGGUGAUCGGCCACAUUGGAACUGAGACACGGUCCAAACUCCUACGGGAGGCAGCAGUGGGGAAUAUUGCACAAUGGGCGAAAGCCUGAUGCCAGCAACGCCGCGUGAGUGAUGAAGGCUUUCGGGUCGUAAAACUCUGUCCUCAAGGAAGAUAAUGACGGUACUUGAGGAGGAAGCCCCGGCUAACUACGUGCCAGCCGCUGC